This is a small nuclear RNA of 131 nucleotides. Its record names the gene U1. It matches the Rfam family "U1 spliceosomal RNA". From Rfam's summary of the family: U1 is a small nuclear RNA (snRNA) component of the spliceosome (involved in pre-mRNA splicing). The record is from Ensembl.
AUAUUUACCUGGCAGGGGAGAUACCAUGAUCACGAAGGUGGUUUUCCCAGGGCAAGACUUAUCCAUUGCACUCCAGAUGUGCUGACUCCAGUGAUUUCCCCAAAUGCGGGAAAACAGAAAUCAAGCUGAGC